This 385-nucleotide ribosomal RNA is filed under the name uncultured bacterium. RNAcentral's name for it is "bacterial SSU rRNA". It matches the Rfam family "Bacterial small subunit ribosomal RNA", at positions 29 to 416 of the family's 1533-position model. The record is from RNAcentral.
AUUGAACGCUGGCGGCAUGCUUUACACAUGCAAGUCGAACGGUAACAGGCCUUCGGGUGCUGACGAGUGGCGAACGGGUGAGUAAUGCAUCGGAACGUGCCCAAUCGUGGGGGAUAACGUAGCGAAAGUUACGCUAAUACCGCAUAAGCCCUGAGGGGGAAAGCAGGGGAUCGCAAGACCUUGCGCGAAUGGAGCGGCCGAUGUCAGAUUAGCUAGUUGGUGGGGUAAAGGCCUACCAAGGCGACGAUCUGUAGCGGGUCUGAGAGGAUGAUCCGCCACACUGGGACUGAGACACGGCCCAGACUCCUACGGGAGGCAGCAGUUGGGGAAUUUUGGACAAUGGGCGCAAGCCUGAUCCAGCCAUGCCGCGUGCGGGACGAAGGCC